RNAcentral lists this ribosomal RNA (395 nucleotides) under uncultured bacterium. Its description in RNAcentral is "partial 16S ribosomal RNA". It matches the Rfam family "Bacterial small subunit ribosomal RNA", at positions 523 to 918 of the family's 1533-position model. The record is from RNAcentral.
AUACGUAGGGUGCAAGCGUUAAUCGGAAUUACUGGGCGUAAAGCGUGCGCAGGCGGUUUUGUAAGAAAGUGGUGAAAUCCCCGGGCUCAACCUGGGAACUGCCAUUGUGACUGCAAGGCUGGAGUGCGGCAGAGGGGGAUGGAAUUCCGCGUGUAGCAGUGAAAUGCGUAGAUAUGCGGAGGAACACCGAUGGCGAAGGCGAACCACUGGGCCUACACUGACGCUCAUGCACGAAAGCGUGGGGAGCAAACAGGAUUAGAUCCCCUGGUAGUCCGCGCCCUAAACUAUGUCAACUGGUUGUUGGGGAUUUAAUUUCUCAGUAACGAAGCUAACGCGUGAAGUUGACCGCCUGGGGAGUACGGCCGCAAGGUUAAAACUCAAAGGAAUUGACGGGG